Molecule: ribosomal RNA, 344 nt
Filed under: uncultured Spirochaeta sp.
Lineage: Bacteria; Pseudomonadati; Spirochaetota; Spirochaetia; Spirochaetales; Spirochaetaceae
Description: bacterial SSU rRNA
Rfam family: Bacterial small subunit ribosomal RNA
Source: RNAcentral
GCUGCAUGGUUGUCGUCAGCUCGUGCCGUGAGGUGUCGGGUUAAGUCCCAUAACGUAGCGCAACCCCUAUCAUUAGUUGCCAUCAGGUCAAGCUGGGGACUCUAAUGAAACUGCCUACGCAAGUAGUGAGGAAGGUGGGGAUGACGUCAAGUCAUCAUGGCCCUUAUGUCCUGGGCUACACACGUGCUACAAUGGCCGGUACAGAGCGCAGCGAGGCCGCGAGGCGGAGCGAAUCGCUUAAAGCCGGUCCCAGUACGGAUUGGAGUCUGCAACCCGACUCCAUGAAGUUGGAAUCGCUAGUAAUCGCGCAUCAGCAUGGCGCGGUGAAUACGUUCCCGGGCCUU